Molecule: ribosomal RNA, 1215 nt
Filed under: metagenome
Description: bacterial LSU rRNA
Rfam family: Bacterial large subunit ribosomal RNA
Source: RNAcentral
CCGUAACUUCGGGAGAAGGUACGCUGUUGAUGGUGAAGGAUUUACUCCGUAAGCUAUCGGCAGCCUCAGAAACUAGGCCGCUGCAACUGUUUAUUAAAAACACAGCACUCUGCAAACACGAAAGUGGACGUAUAGGGUGUGAUGCCUGCCCGGUGCUGGAAGGUUAAUUGAUGGGGUUAGCGAAAGCGAAGCUCUUGAUCGAAGCCCCAGUAAACGGCGGCCGUAACAAUAACGGUCCUAAGGUAGCGAAAUUCCUUGUCGGGUAAGUUCCGACCUGCACGAAUGGCAUAAUGAUGGCGGCGCUGUCUCCACCAGAGACUCAGUGAAAUCGAAAUCGCGGUGAAGAUGCCGUGUACCCGCGGCUAGACGGAAAGACCCCGUGAACCUUUACUGCAGCUUUGCACUGAACUUUGACCUUACUUGUGUAGGAUAGGUGGGAGGCUUUGAAGCUCGGACGCUAGUUCGAGUGGAGCCAUCCUUGAAAUACCACCCUGGUAAUGUCGAGGUUCUAACCCAGAUCCGUUAUCCGGAUCGGGGACAGUGUAUGGUGGGUAGUUUGACUGGGGCGGUCUCCUCCUAAAGAGUAACGGAGGAGUACGAAGGUGCGCUCAGCGUGGUCGGAAAUCACGCAAUGAGUAUAAAGGCAAAAGCGCGCUUAACUGCGAGACCGACAAGUCGAGCAGGUACGAAAGUAGGUCUUAGUGAUCCGGUGGUUCUGUAUGGAAGGGCCAUCGCUCAACGGAUAAAAGGUACUCUGGGGAUAACAGGCUGAUACCGCCCAAGAGUUCAUAUCGACGGCGGUGUUUGGCACCUCGAUGUCGGCUCAUCUCAUCCUGGGGCUGAAGCAGGUCCCAAGGGUAUGGCUGCUCGCCAUUUAAAGAGGUACGCGAGCUGGGUUUAGAACGUCGUGAGACAGUUCGGUCCCUAUCUACCGUGGGCGUUGGAGACUUGAGAGGAUCUGCUUCUAGUACGAGAGGACCGAAGUGGACGUACCUCUGGUGUUCGGGUUGUCACGCCAGUGGCACUGCCCGGUAGCUAUGUACGGAAGGGAUAACCGCUGAAAGCAUCUAAGCGGGAAGCCUACCUCAAGAUAAGGUCUCCCUGAGGGUUUAACCCUCCUAAAGAGCCGUUAGAGACCAUGACGUUGAUAGGUUCGGUGUGGAAGUGCGGUGACGCAUGAAGCUAACGAAUACUAAUUGCUCGUGAGGCUUGACU